This is a long non-coding RNA of Peromyscus maniculatus bairdii (prairie deer mouse), 3758 nucleotides long. RefSeq lists it as uncharacterized. The record is from RefSeq and is a predicted model, not a curated record. NCBI's taxonomy places the organism in Eukaryota, Metazoa, Chordata, Mammalia, Rodentia, Cricetidae.
AGGUGUUCAGAGAUCCAUUCUAGAAAGCGUUCUAACCCACAUGUGGAAUAGAGAACGGCUACCAAUGAGGGCCUUGAUGAGUUCCCAUUUGAGCAAAGAGAGAAUGAUAUUAUCCAGUCUGACCCGACUUGCUAUAUCCUUUAAACACAUGGGACAUUUCCAAGUCUCCACCUUUCCAAUGGGAUGAAAAGAUCAGCCAGGAUAAAGGAGAUGGAGUAGUUUAUCUCCCUGGUUCUCAUUCUUCUAGAAUAAACAUUUAAACGGACCUCUGCUCUGAAGAGAAAGCUUCUGAAGUGGCUGCUGUAAAUUGUGAUCGUUCCUAAUUCCUCUCCUCUCCAUUGUGGAUUUUCUGUCUUGAUUGUAUGCGUAUUUAUCUCAAUAAAUAGGGAAAGUGUAAUUUCCUUGACAAAAAAUGAAAAGGUGAAACUGUAACCCUGAUGGAUAUCAAGUAUCCAGAAAGUAUCAUUUUACUUUCAUUGUGUUAAUGUUUAUGUCAGCAAAGUCAGAAAGUGAAUGAUUGGGAGGAUUCUGAAAGAAACCUGUGACAGAGCCACUAUGUCAGGUAAAUACCUUUAUAUUAUAAAAUCCCUUUAUAACUGAAGUGUGUUCUCCCCUCUCCUCUCCCUCUUCCCUCCUCUUUUCUCCAUCUCUUCAUCUCUCCCCUUUACCUCAGCCAAACCAAGGUCCUUGGGGUCAGGACUUUGGAAAGCAAUAGCCAUCAGAAAUACCUUGAAAUAUCACUCCAAUGUUUUUGCGUAUCAUUUUCCAGUCUAGAACAUCAACAUCCUCCCUCCAUAGGAAGCUGUGUGAUUCCUUUACUUUGCCUGUCGUGAAGCGAUGCAGGAGUCUGUGUGUCAGUAGAGAAAUAUUUGCAGUGCCUCUCCUACAUAAUGAUACUUCAAUCUUCUUCAGUAAAGAGAAGCCAGCUUAGGUUGUCAGUGAGAUUUCAUACAACUCAAAAACAAACUUAGUAGGAAAAUGCUGUGAUUUUGUCUUUCAGAUGAAAAAAAAACCCCACAAAUACAAGUGUCAUUGUAGUGAGAGCAUUUUAAGCAUUUAACAUAUCAUUUGUGGUUCUCAUAAGAUCAGGAGAACCAUUGGGUAAAAUCAUUCUAUGGAUAUCGGUUUAUGCGUUUUGUGUUUUUAGCAUACUUUGUGAUAUACAUGUGUGAGGGGGAAACAUUCUCUUUGGCUUUCUCUUUAUAACACAUACUAUGGACAUGUUACUGCUGCUGCCAUGAGGUCACCUAGAAGACAUGUGUACUGAUAAGUAAUUGGGUAACUAUUGUAGUUCUUCAUCUGCUCUAUGGUACUGAGUUUUGAGCAUGAAAAUUCAAUAGUUCCAUUUUCAAUAGCAGCCAGUGAUGACUGUAAAAUAUUGUGAGGGCUCUAGAGACCCAUCACUUAGAUUCCUAAAUAGCAGGGGUCACAUGAUGGCUCCCCUGUUGACACUGGUGUGAGAUGUAAGGAACCCUGACAGUUCAAAGCCUAAUGGCUCUAGGAGAGUGAGGCACUGGUCAUGUGACAUGCAGGGGACUGUAUAGACAAGGGAACCCCUGCAGGCUGGCUGGGAUUUGCUUAUAUUGCAAAGCAAAUGAAGGAGUCUUUCUGUGUCUCGCUCUCCAUUGCAUCCCCAGUAUCCGCCACUGUGGUGCCGGUAGUCAGGUAGAGUGCCCUCUGAACAACACUCAUCACCAUCAUCGUCAUAGCCACCACUAGCAGGUGGGUACUGAGGACUCCCCAGUGACCUUCUGUUUUUCCUUUGCUUUGGUUGUUAAUUAUUUUGAUAAACCUAAGUAUAUUAUUUACUAAUAAGACCAUGGCCUCUAUUUUCUUGUCCAGGAUACUUUCAAAUAUUUGUCUAAUUUUCGGCCUCCCGUUCUAAAAAGUAGACCAUGUGUCCUUGAGAAAGCCUUCCCUGAAUGUCCAGCUUAACUCAUUUUCUCCUACUGCCCACUCUUCCUUCUCCCCAGACUCUUCUAAUUUGUUCAUAAAACUUCUCAAGAUACAAAAUUCUCCCCUUUGCUUGCCUACUUGUUUGCUAACUGCUGCAGAAGGAUGUUGACUGUGCUGUUCCCUCUCUGUCAGCAGUGGUGAUUAGAAUACAGUAGGUGCCCAACAAACAUUUCGAGAGUGAAUAAUACAGGAAUCACAGUGGUCGCUGAGAAACCACAAGAGCUACUUAUGAAAGUACUCACUGGAUGCAUCAAAGGCCUGCCACCCAAGUAGCAAUCUCGGGAUCUUUUGGCUCUUUACUCUUGAAAUUCUUUGUCUGUGUCUUCUGUUUGGUGCUGUGUACUCACAGCAGCUCAUAUCUCAGUUAAUGGUCUAAGUGUGGACAUAGGAGUCAUGAGCGGCUCAGAGGGAUAUGCUAUCUACCUAUAAUUCUAAAAAUUAUGCAGAGUAGUAUGAGACACAUUUUGGGAAGACAGACCAAAUCCAGCUGUGGGUCUCUGCUUGGCUGCUUCACUAUGAAGCUCUCAUGCAAAGCCCUCCAUGAGCUCAGCUUUGAUCUGCUUUCAGGCCUGCCAGAGCACUCUAGUUCUCAAGUCUCAAUUACUUUGAAAGGCACCAAAUCUAGCUUUGAUGGUGUACACGGAGAAUGGUAGAAAAUUCAGGCGAUUUGAGGAAAGCUAAGUGAACAAAAAUGAAGCUGCUUUUUAGAGAAAACAACCUCUAGCAGAUUUUUAUGGCCGUAAUGACACGAAUGAACCAGAUUGGAGACCAAAUGAAGGCUGUCAUUGACACCUGCCAUCUGUCUGAAGUAAAGGUAGGAGACCCUGUUGGAUGCUUCCUGAGGAAGGCACUUUCCUUGCAUCAGUUCCUUCCCUCUGUCCUUGUCCUUGUUUGGGUUUGGCCUCUUCGGUUAAUUCUCAGAAGCGCAAGAAAUGACCUUGACUGUGACCCUAACAACACCAGCAUGAAUUUCACUUUGGUUUCAAAACUGAAGUUCUUAAAAGUUAUCUCUUCAUAGUUUUCCUUGCAGGACUCCAGGGGAUUGGAAGCUGAGACAAGCACUGGUCCCUUGAUCGCACAGCAGCGUUCUUCGGGGAAAAGCUAGAACACAACACUCUAAGUGCUAACUCCAGGAAACCCUAGGGCUCAGCAAAGCCCAGCGGUAGAAAUGCUAUCCUGGGGCUUUGCAGUCCCAUCCCUACAUCAGGACUUCCCCUGUGUUCUUUCCUAUCUCUUCUGCUCCCGGACAAAUCAAAUGGAUUUUAAUCCAGUGCUGUGCUUUAUGUCUUCUGUCUUCUCAGGCACUUAUUCUAUUCUAUCCAUAGCAUGAAAAAACUCAAUGCAAAAAAAAAAAAUCCACUGAGUUUGCCUUGAAGUAAAAUACAAUAUAUGAACUUGGAUUCCAGAAACAGUAGUUAUUUGGGGGGGGAGGGUGCACUCUGGACAGUGUUUUCAUUUGUUAGCCGUCCUGACUACAUCUAUGUGUCCAUGUAUUGUUGUACUUUGCUGUGCAUUUUUGCCAUUUUUAUUGUUGUUGUUGUCAAGGUAUGAAGAGGGUAAAGAAGAAACAAUGGAGAGGAAUGAAAGGUUUUGUUUUCUCUAGCCAAAAUGAUGAUUUUGUUCUUUUCUGGUAUUCUACCUUCCAGAGGGUUGAGAGUCUUUUCUAUGACACUCUCAAAUGUCCUAUUGGUUCAUACAGAUUUAUACUUUGACUGAAGAAUUGUAUAAGUUUGAAAUCUGAACUAGAAUAAACUGAAAUGGAAGUGUCCAAAUUAAUCAUAAAAUGAAUGAACCAAUAGUGG